UUGCUUCAGCAGCACGUGCACCAAAAUUGGAACAAUGCAAAGAAGAUUAGCAUGGUCUGUGCUCAAGGAUGACACUAAGAUCUAUAAAGUGUCCCAUAAAACU
Callithrix jacchus (white-tufted-ear marmoset) is the source of this 103-nucleotide small nuclear RNA. Lineage: Eukaryota; Metazoa; Chordata; Mammalia; Primates; Cebidae. The record is from Ensembl.